UUGACCUCAAAUCGGGUGAGACUACCCGCUGAACUUAAGCAUAUCAAUAAGCGGAGGAAAAGAAACUAACAAGGAUUCCCCUAGUAACUGCGAGUGAAGCGGGAAAAGCUCAAAUUUAAAAUCUGGUGGCCUUUGGUCAUCCGAGUUGUAAUUUAGAGAAGCGUCUUCCGCGCUGGACCAUGCACAAGUCUCCUGGAAUGGAGCGUCAUAGAGGGUGAGAAUCCCGUCUUUGGCAUGG
This 238-nucleotide ribosomal RNA is filed under the name Russula densifolia. Its description in RNAcentral is "partial 28S ribosomal RNA". It matches the Rfam family "Eukaryotic large subunit ribosomal RNA", at positions 1 to 233 of the family's 3401-position model. The record is from RNAcentral. Lineage: Eukaryota; Fungi; Basidiomycota; Agaricomycetes; Russulales; Russulaceae.